This 807-nucleotide ribosomal RNA is filed under the name Stenotrophomonas sp. RNAcentral's name for it is "bacterial SSU rRNA". It matches the Rfam family "Bacterial small subunit ribosomal RNA", at positions 61 to 855 of the family's 1533-position model. The record is from RNAcentral. Lineage: Bacteria; Pseudomonadati; Pseudomonadota; Gammaproteobacteria; Lysobacterales; Lysobacteraceae.
GUCGACGGCAGCACAGUAAGAGCUUGCUCUUAUGGGUGGCGAGUGGCGGACGGGUGAGGAAUACAUCGGAAUCUACCUUUUCGUGGGGGAUAACGUAGGGAAACUUACGCUAAUACCGCAUACGACCUUCGGGUGAAAGCAGGGGACCUUCGGGCCUUGCGCGGAUAGAUGAGCCGAUGUCGGAUUAGCUAGUUGGCGGGGUAAAGGCCCACCAAGGCGACGAUCCGUAGCUGGUCUGAGAGGAUGAUCAGCCACACUGGAACUGAGACACGGUCCAGACUCCUACGGGAGGCAGCAGUGGGGAAUAUUGGACAAUGGGCGCAAGCCUGAUCCAGCCAUACCGCGUGGGUGAAGAAGGCCUUCGGGUUGUAAAGCCCUUUUGUUGGGAAAGAAAAGCAGUCGAUUAAUACUCGGUUGUUCUGACGGUACCCAAAGAAUAAGCACCGGCUAACUUCGUGCCAGCAGCCGCGGUAAUACGAAGGGUGCAAGCGUUACUCGGAAUUACUGGGCGUAAAGCGUGCGUAGGUGGUUGUUUAAGUCUGUUGUGAAAGCCCUGGGCUCAACCUGGGAAUUGCAGUGGAUACUGGGCGACUAGAGUGUGGUAGAGGGUAGUGGAAUUCCCGGUGUAGCAGUGAAAUGCGUAGAGAUCGGGAGGAACAUCCAUGGCGAAGGCAGCUACCUGGACCAACACUGACACUGAGGCACGAGAGCGUGGGGAGCAAACAGGAUUAUAUACCCUGGUAGUCCACGCCCUAAACGAUGCGAACUGGAUGUUGGGUGCAAUUUGGCACGCAGUAUCGAAGCUAA